AGCAUGUGGUUAAUUCGACGCAACGCGAAGAACCUUACCAGGGCUUGACAUCCCCUGACCGCGUAUGAAAGUACGUUUUCACCCUCGGGUGACAGGGAGACAGGUGGUGCAUGGUUGUCGUCAGCUCGUGUCGUGAGAUGUUGGGUUAAGUCCCGCAACGAGCGCAACCCCUACGUUUAGUUGCUAACAGGUGAAGCUGAGCACUCUAGACGAACUGCCGUUGACAAAACGGAGGAAGGUGGGAUGACGUCAAAUCAUCAUGCCCCUUAUGUUCUGGGCUACACACGUGCUACAAUGGCCGGUACAGACGGAGGCGAAGCCGCGAGGCGGAGCAAAUCCGAAAAAGCCGGUCUCAGUUCGGAUUGCAGGCUGCAAUUCGCCUGCAUGAAGUCGGAAUCGCUAGUAAUCGCAGGUCAGCAUACUGCGGUGAAUACGUUCCCGGGCCUU
RNAcentral lists this ribosomal RNA (447 nucleotides) under uncultured Pelotomaculum sp. RNAcentral describes it as "bacterial SSU rRNA". It matches the Rfam family "Bacterial small subunit ribosomal RNA", at positions 936 to 1382 of the family's 1533-position model. The record is from RNAcentral. Lineage: Bacteria; Bacillati; Bacillota; Clostridia; Eubacteriales; Desulfotomaculaceae.